Molecule: non-coding RNA, 103 nt
Organism: Acanthosepion pharaonis
Lineage: Eukaryota; Metazoa; Mollusca; Cephalopoda; Sepiida; Sepiidae
Source: the annotation of a GenBank genome assembly
GCAUCACGUAGAAACUGGUUCCCAUACAAUCAACGAAGUUAAGCAACGUUGAGCAUGGUCAGUACCUAGAUGGGUAACUGCCUAGGAAUACCAGGUGCUGUAA